AGGGUGCUCGAAAGAGAGCCGUAACACAGGGUGCUGCAUGGCUGUCGUCAGCUCGUGUCGUGAGAUGUUGGGUUAAGUCCCGCAACGAGCGCAACCCUUGUCAUUAGUUGCUACAUUCAGUUUGGGCACUCUAAUGAGACUGCCGGUGACAAGCCGGAGGAAGGUGGGGAUGACGUCAAGUCCUCAUGGCCCUUAUAGGUGGGGCUACACACGUCAUACAAUGGCUGGUACAAAGGGUUGCCAACCCGCGAGGGGGAGCCAAUCCCAUAAAGCCAGUCGUAGUCCGGAUCGUAGUCUGCAACUCGACUACGUGAAGUCGGAAUCGCUAGUAAUCGUGGAUCAGAAUGUCACGGUGAAUACGUUCCCGGGUCUU
Molecule: ribosomal RNA, 373 nt
Filed under: uncultured Rhodoferax sp.
Lineage: Bacteria; Pseudomonadati; Pseudomonadota; Betaproteobacteria; Burkholderiales; Comamonadaceae
Description: bacterial SSU rRNA
Rfam family: Bacterial small subunit ribosomal RNA
Source: RNAcentral